RNAcentral lists this ribosomal RNA (1290 nucleotides) under Halomonas alkalicola. RNAcentral's name for it is "bacterial SSU rRNA". It matches the Rfam family "Bacterial small subunit ribosomal RNA", at positions 118 to 1404 of the family's 1533-position model. The record is from RNAcentral. Lineage: Bacteria; Pseudomonadati; Pseudomonadota; Gammaproteobacteria; Oceanospirillales; Halomonadaceae.
UAGAAAUCUGCCCGGUAGUGGGGGAUAACCUGGGGAAACCCAGGCUAAUACCGCAUACGUCCUACGGGAGAAAGCAGGGGAUCUUCGGACCUUGCGCUAUCGGAUGAGUCUAUGUCGGAUUAGCUUGUUGGUGAGGUAAUGGCUCACCAAGGCGACGAUCCGUAGCUGGUCUGAGAGGAUGAUCAGCCACAUCGGGACUGAGACACGGCCCGAACUCCUACGGGAGGCAGCAGUGGGGAAUAUUGGACAAUGGGCGAAAGCCUGAUCCAGCCAUGCCGCGUGUGUGAAGAAGGCCUUCGGGUUGUAAAGCACUUUCAGUGGGGAAGAAAGCCUUGGGGCUAAUACCCUCGAGGAAGGACAUCACCCACAGAAGAAGCACCGGCUAACUCCGUGCCAGCAGCCGCGGUAAUACGGAGGGUGCGAGCGUUAAUCGGAAUUACUGGGCGUAAAGCGCGCGUAGGCGGUCUGAUAAGCCGGUUGUGAAAGCCCCGGGCUCAACCUGGGAACGGCAUCCGGAACUGUCAGGCUAGAGUGCAGGAGAGGAAGGUAGAAUUCCCGGUGUAGCGGUGAAAUGCGUAGAGAUCGGGAGGAAUACCAGUGGCGAAGGCGGCCUUCUGGACUGACACUGACGCUGAGGUGCGAAAGCGUGGGUAGCAAACAGGAUUAGAUACCCUGGUAGUCCACGCCGUAAACGAUGUCGACUAGCCGUUGGGCUCCUUGAGAGCUUUGUGGCGCAGUUAACGCGAUAAGUCGACCGCCUGGGGAGUACGGCCGCAAGGUUAAAACUCAAAUGAAUUGACGGGGGCCCGCACAAGCGGUGGAGCAUGUGGUUUAAUUCGAUGCAACGCGAAGAACCUUACCUACCCUUGACAUCGUGCGAACUUUCCAGAGAUGGAUUGGUGCCUUCGGGAACGCACAGACAGGUGCUGCAUGGCUGUCGUCAGCUCGUGUUGUGAAAUGUUGGGUUAAGUCCCGUAACGAGCGCAACCCUUGUCCUUAUUUGCCAGCGAGUAAUGUCGGGAACUCUAAGGAGACUGCCGGUGACAAACCGGAGGAAGGUGGGGACGACGUCAAGUCAUCAUGGCCCUUACGGGUAGGGCUACACACGUGCUACAAUGGCCGGUACAAAGGGUUGCGAAGCCGCGAGGUGGAGCUAAUCCCGAAAAGCUGGUCUCAGUCCGGAUCGGAGUCUGCAACUCGACUCCGUGAAGUCGGAAUCGCUAGUAAUCGUGAAUCAGAAUGUCACGGUGAAUACGUUCCCGGGCCUUGUACACACCGCCCGUCACACCA